AUUGAACGCUGGCGGCAGGCCUAACACAUGCAAGUCGAACGGAAGAACGGUGCUUGCUUGCGGUUCCAGCGGGGGACGGGCGAGCGAUGCAUGGGAAUAUCCCUGGCUGCGGUUUCGAACGGCCUGAAACAGGGGCUCUUACCCCAUACGCGCUGAGGGCCUACGUGGGGGAGCUUGGGAUCUUCCGCCAUUGGGCGAUCGUAUGUCGGAUUAGCUAGUUGGUGGGGUAAAGGCGUACCAAGGCGACGAUGCGUAGCUGGUCUGAGAGGAUGAUCAGACACACUGGAACUGAGACACGGUCCAGACUCCUACGGGAGGCAGCAGUGGGGAAUAUUGGACAAUGGGCGCAAGCCUGAUCCAGCCAUGCCGCGUGUGUGAAGAAGGUCUUCGGGUUGUAAAGCACUUUUGUUGGGGAGGAAAAGCAGUAAGUUAAUACCGUGCUGUUCUGACGUUACCAACAGAAUAAGCACCGGCUAACUUCGUG
Molecule: ribosomal RNA, 484 nt
Filed under: uncultured bacterium
Lineage: Bacteria
Description: partial 16S ribosomal RNA
Rfam family: Bacterial small subunit ribosomal RNA
Source: RNAcentral